RNAcentral lists this ribosomal RNA (403 nucleotides) under uncultured Bacillus sp. RNAcentral describes it as "bacterial SSU rRNA". It matches the Rfam family "Bacterial small subunit ribosomal RNA", at positions 119 to 508 of the family's 1533-position model. The record is from RNAcentral. Lineage: Bacteria; Bacillati; Bacillota; Bacilli; Caryophanales; Bacillaceae.
GGGUAACCUGCCUGUAAGACCGGGAUAACUCCGGGAAACCGGUGCUAAUACCGGAUAGAUUAUCUUUCCGCCUGGAGAGAUAAGGAAAGAUGGCUAUUGCCAUCACUUACAGAUGGGCCCGCGGCGCAUUAGCUAGUUGGUGAGGUAACGGCUCACCAAGGCGACGAUGCGUAGCCGACCUGAGAGGGUGAUCGGCCACACUGGGACUGAGACACGGCCCAGACUCCUACGGGAGGCAGCAGUAGGGAAUCUUCCGCAAUGGACGAAAGUCUGACGGAGCAACGCCGCGUGAGUGAAGAAGGUCUUCGGAUCGUAAAACUCUGUUGUUAGAGAAGAACAAGGAUGAGAGUAACUGUUCAUCCCUUGACGGUACCUGACCAGAAAGCCACGGCUAACUACGUGC